RNAcentral lists this transfer RNA (91 nucleotides) under Gymnopilus junonius. It matches the Rfam family "tRNA". Rfam says of the family: Transfer RNA (tRNA) molecules are approximately 80 nucleotides in length. The record is from Rfam by way of RNAcentral. Lineage: Eukaryota; Fungi; Basidiomycota; Agaricomycetes; Agaricales; Galerinaceae.
GCCCGCCUAGCUCAAUCGGAUAGAGCGUCAGACUCUUAUGUCUAAGGCACAGGGCAUCUGAAGGCUGCGAGUUCGACCCUCGCGGUGGGCU